UAGUCUUUAAAAAUAAUACAUACAUACAUACAUACAUACAUACAUACAUACAUACAUCUACUGGUUUUUCGAGACAAGGUUUCACUGUGUAGCCUUGACUGCCCUAGAAGUCACUCUGUGUAGAACAGGUUGGUCUUGAACUCACAGAAAUCUGCCUGUGUUUGUCUCCCCAGCACUGGGAUUAAAGACGUGUCUCACCACUGCCCAGCAAUUUAUUUUAAUUUAAAUGAUGUGUAUCUGUACCAACAGAGGCCAGAGAGGAUGUUGGUUCCCUUGAAGCUGGAGUUACAGGUAGUAGUUCUUUCCUUCAUGGCCCCAGUGGUUUGUACCUAAGCAAAGCUCCAUGGAACCAUCCCUGAGAUUUGGGAGCAAGCAUGACAAGAGGGUGUCUGAGUCUGGAGGCUCCACCCCUGGGGCCUCAAAGGAUCAGGCACGGAGGACUGAGGGAGCCGUCCACCUCACGUCAGGGAUGACAAGGGCUGGUGCUUUCUGCCACCUCCUCCAGGGCAAGGAUUAAGGCAGUGGGAGCGGGGUUAUCUUAGAGUUGGUCUUUCAUAGUUUUACCUCUCAUGACAGGGUUUCUCUGUGUAGCCCUGGCUGCCCAGGAACUCACUCUGUAGACCAGGCUGGCUGUGAACUCAAAAGAUCCACCUGCGCCCGCUCCCGAGCGCUGGGGUUAAAGGUGCACGACACCACUGCCUGGUGGUUCUUUCAGUUUUUAAGUAUUGUAUUUAUUUCUUUGUAUGAGUGUGCGCGCGCGCACGCGGAGCUCAGAGUCCGACAGUCGCGCACUGACUGACAGUCGCGCACUGACUGACAGUCGCGCACUGACUGACAGUCGCGCACUGACUGACAGUCGCGCACAGACAGUCGCGCAGCAGUUGUCUCCUUCCAGUUUCUGUGUUUUGGGGAUUGAACUCUGGCCUUCAGGCUUGACGGCGAGUGCCUUUCUUUGCUGGACCAUCUCUCUGCCCCCCUUUUGUUCAAGGCAGACAUUGGCCUUGAACCCCUGAUGCCCAUACCUCCAUCUCCCACUGCUGGAUUAUGGGUAUGUUAUCACUCUGUCUCAUUGUGACAGGAGAAAGCCAAACCAACAAACCGGCCAUGUUUAGAUGCAUACAGAACCACUCCUCCACCCAACCAGAGUUGGGUGACUGUCUUGCUUUCUAACUGUAAUUAAUGCUGACAGCUCCUGCUGGGGAAAUGGAGCCCUCAAAAUGCACCGGGCUGGGGGCCCCUGGACGAGGGGGGCUUACCAGGAUUAUCAGUUCAGGGCCUAGUAAUUAAGUCCCCAGAUGUUGACGAUUCAUCAAAUUACAAGGCCUGAUGGGGUCUGAGGUCCCAGCCGGGGAAGUGUGCAUUCCUCUAUGACGGCUCUUGUCCCAGGCUUUGCUAGGGAUGGCCAGUGGGUGGGAGUAGGGGGCAGCCCCCUCCAGGCAGGUCAGCCCCAUAUGGUUCUGAUUUCUCAGGCCCGGCUGUUGCAUACACAUGGGUUACAGGUCUAGUCUGGGUUUUAACAAUUUCCCCAAACUUGAGUUCCCUGCCCCAGGGCAAGGAAGAAAGGGCCUUAGUGUAGAGGUCCAGCUGUGACUUGUGCCCUGCUGGUGGCCUGCUGCUCUUUCCAGAGACCCUAGGUCUGGGUGCUUUGCAGAGUAGCCUCUGUACCCCAAGUCAUAGCAAGUUCGAGACUCACAGGUGUGUCAGGCUGUAUGUGGUUGGGGACAGCUGUGAAUGCAGCCAGGUAUAAAAUUAUAAACUUAUUUAAAAUAUUAGUAUUAGUGUGAACUUUGAAACAGAUGUACAGUUGAGGGCUAGUGAGAUGGCUCAGGGGGUUGGAGGUGCCGUCAAGCCUGACAGCCCGAGUUCAAUCCCUGAAACCCACCUGGUACAAGUCAAGAACUGACCUCCACAAACUGUCCUCUCAUCUCCAUAUGUACACUGUAGCAUGUACUCUCUCUCUCUCUCUCUCUCUCUCUCUCUCUCUCUCACACACACACACAAAUAUCAGCUAUACAGGUGAUGACAUCAUUGUGCAAUGUCGUCAUUGUGCAAUGUCAAAAGCUAGAGGUUUUGUUAAGUAACAACCGUGAGGUUAAAAAAUAAAAACAAAAACCCACUACCACAACAAAACUCCUCAAACCAACUAAAUUAGCAGCUAUGUUGAAAAAAAAAAGCAAAGCAAAACAAAAAAAAACCCCAAAACAGACAGUUCACUUCACUAUACAGACUUUGAAAUUGUCUAGAAAAGCAGGAAGGCCUCCCAGUCCCUGGGACAUGCUCUUGCCUGCCCAGGCCUGCACUGCCUUCUCAGGGUUACGGCCCGAGGGCCCCUGUUCCGCUUUUUCCUUUUGCUUCACAUCCGCUCACUGCCUGGGAGAGUGACCUGCUGGCCCUAUAAGGGCACGGUGUGCAACCGUUGGCCUGGGUCUCUUUCAGCUGUGACAGUCUUGAGUCAUGGAAGCAGCUGGCUUCUAUUUGGCGGCGAGGGCUUGCUCAGUGAGUGGCCCGUGUUGCUGGAAGCAAUUACAUCUAUGUCCCCAUCACACACCACGGCUGGAAGAGGAGGUUCUCAUACCAUAAAGGCCAAACUGGAACUAACCAGCUCCCUCAUUCUGAGUGCUAAGAUCAUAGGGCGCCCCUGACACUGACUGGGUAGUGGUACAGUAGUGUCCUUCAGAAGGGUAGGGCCCAGCCUGGCCAGGGCUCAGCAGAUACGCUAGGCUGGAAGGAAAGCUGCUUUGUGACAGCCUCUUUGCUUUGCCUGGGAGGCUGGAGUCUACCCAGAGUGCACACUGAUCCUCCCAUAGAAAGAAACAGUCCAGCUACCAAGGAGCACAGGAGGAGGAAGGCGGAGUGCAAUAGUUCAGUCAAGAUUCUGGAGGAGAAUAUCAAGGUUCAGGAGAAUGUUGGAUUAAGAGGAGGAGGCAGAGAGAGAACAAAAACAAUAAAUGUUAAAUUACCGGGUAGCCAUCUCGUCCUGAUUGCCCCUGUGGUAAUUAAUAAGCCAUUAACAAUCAGAGUUUGGGCAGAAAACCAUAUGGCAAUGCUUAUAACUCUGUCCAACCACACCCCCUGCUGCACCCCCUUGCUGCUUUCUGCACGGUUUCCAGGGGACCAACACUGCUGGCUGUAGUGUGCUGGGUCAGGGGGUGGGUCAGAAGGACAACCGCCUUCUCCUAUCAGCAGCCAUGGGGCCUUCAUCAGAGCCACCAAGCUACUACAUCCACAUGUGUCACCCCUAUGUCAAUUCUGGCAUAAGACAGAGAACACGAACCAGGGGCAAAAAAAUCCUUCACACAGGAGCUGCAGUAUGCUCUCAACUCAUCCACGUUUCUACUGGAACAGGUGGAGCUGAGAAGGUUCUGGAAGCUAGAGAUAUGGGGGAUAUGCACUGCUACCGGCUGUUUGUCUGUCCCCAGUUCAGAUUAGGCCUGCUUAAGGCUACUGACACCUAUGUCCCACACAUGGGUAACCCCUCCCCUUCCAAGCCCCUUGCAGUGGUAACUUAAGAAUUACUGCCUACUUAACCCAUUUAAUAUUUUAACAACUGAGCCAGGUACAAAACCGUGCCUUCACCUUUGUGUUUUGUAUUUCCACAAGUUUGUACAAGCCGCCUCCACGGAGCCUCCAGGAGCACUCUACCAGGAAGUUCACUUGUGGCCAAAACCCUACACAUUUUUGUUGGCCUGCCUUUUCUUUGGCUCAAACUGAUGUUACAUGCACAGAGAAGCCAGAGUCUGAAGGGUGCUGGUAGGGGUGGUGGGGGCAUAUGAAUCAUGGAAAUAGAAGUCAGAGGUAAAAUGGUUCAUCUGAAAAGAAUUCCUUUGGAAGGUUAAUUUUGGCUCCAGUUGACUGUCCAUGUGCUACUUGAAUGGAUGCAUAGGGAUUUAUCUGGCCCUGAAAAUCCGCCAAGAGGAAUCAAAGGCAGUUACAUCCGUAACCCAAAGAAGGGAGGAUUCUACAAGGGGGGAUUCUCGGGGCCACCGAGUCACCGCCAUCAAAGCAGCCUCUGUCUGUCUGGCCAAGGCGGGAGCCUCUCUGAGCUUCCCUUCACACCCUCUUAAAUGCAGUGACAUUUUUCCUUCUGGUGCCCUCUCAACACCUCUGCCAGCCAGCCAGGCUCAUGGAGUCCCAGCUGGGAGCAAGACAAGCUGGCUAAGAAGAAAAAAGAACUCCGGGAUCCAGUGAUCAUGCCCAAUUUUGACUUGGAGCUACUGUCUCAGGCCUUUGGCCAAAGCAAUGGAGAGUUAAAAAAAAAAAAUCAGCAGGCAGAGAAGGAGUCGGAGAGGAGCACAGCACGAUCCGAGACACUUACCGGAGGGCCUGCAAAACACAAGCAGAAAAGCUACUGUCAGCACGGAAGUUUCCCUCCCCAUCUCAGCACAGCCCUGGCCACCCCCACCUCAACAACUCCAGGCUUCACAGCAUUGCCCACAAUGGCCCUGUAAACAAGGGUCAGCCACAGAACCAAGAUGAUAGACUUUUGCCCUCGGAGGAGCCUGGGUGGCCAUGUCGGAGGCAAUGAGGGUUCUCACAUGCAUGGGUUCAUGUGUUCAGUUCAUGAGGCUGAUUGGCGUCCAUUCCCGUCAUGUUCUGAAAAGCUAAAUCUGAAUUAGAUCUUGCUUUCCAGUGAGCAGGUUUUUGGGUUUCACCCCAGAGGAGGGAGAUAAAGAGGCGAAAGCAAUUUGGCUGUAGGGAAGGGUUGGGGUAAAGGCAUGCAAUGGGUCACCACAGCCCAGCUCUGGGGUUUGAUGUGCACAAGGAGAUUUGAAGGGACAGUAUAGAGCCGUGGUUCUCAGCCUCCUUAGUGCUGCAGCCCUUUAAUACAGUUCCUCAAGUGGUGGCUGGUAUCUCACAAUUGUAACUUUGUUACUGCUAUGAAUCAUAAUGUAAAUGUCUGAUAUGCAGGAGGAUACUGGUAGGUGACCCCCAAAGGGGUUGCCACACACUGGUUGAGGAUCGCUGAUACGGAAACUGUGGUAGGGACUUUGAUGAGGCUUAGCCACAGAAGAUCUCUGGCUUCUGAACAUAUAUGUGCAUACCACACAUCUCACAGCUACACCCACGCGCACACACACACACACAGAGUACUUGGAAAAAAUUGUGCCUAUAUUGAACAGGCCGUUGUCAUUAAUUUUUAAGUAUAACUGAUUUGCAUAUCAUUUACAUUGUAUAAGGCACUUAGAGACGAUGUAAUGUAUCUGUGAGGAUGUGUGUAGGUUAUAUGUAAAUAUAGUCAUUUUAUACAAGGAGCGUCAGCAUUGGUGGUCUCAUGGACACUAAAGGAUGGCUAGGAUCAGUUAGGGGUAGGGUAUCCUGGAAGAUGGUCUCUCAACUCCUCAAAGCAAUGUCCCUGCCACAAAUGCAUGCUUCUGCCAACCCAGUAACCCCUCUGUUCCCACUACACCUCAGACCCCACUCUGUAGGAUGAGGCUGCAAACAGGCAUCCCUUGGCCGGCACUGGAAUAAGGGGUACACCUGCAUGGCCAAUAGUGAGCUGGGAACCUUGUGGGUAAGAAAGGGUCGCAGUGGGGUUGGGGAUUUAACUCAGUGGUAGAGCGCUUGCCUAGCAAACACAAGGCCCUGGGUUCGGUCCCCAGCUCCGGAAAAAAAAAAAGAAAAAGAAAAAAAAAAAAAAAGAAAGGCUUUACAAGAUGGAUGAAGCAAAGAAGUGCAGGCCAACAGGAGCCGGAUGUAGAUCGCUCCUGAGAGACACAGCCAGAAUACAGCAAAUACAGAGGCGAAUGCCAGCAGCAAACCACUGAACUGAGAAUAGGACCCCCGUUGAAGGAAUCAGAGAAAGGACUGGAAGAGCUUGAAGGGGUUCGAGACCCCAUAUGUACAACAAUGCCAACCAACCAGAGCUUCCAGGGACUAAGCCACUACCUAAAGACUAUACAUGGACUGACCCUGGACUCUGACCUCAUAGGUAGCAAUGAAUAUCCUAGUAAGAUCACCAGUGGAAGGGGAAGCCCUGGGUCCUGCUAAGACUGAACCCCCAGUGAACGUGAUUGUUGGGGGGA
Molecule: non-coding RNA, 6023 nt
Organism: Rattus norvegicus (Norway rat)
Lineage: Eukaryota; Metazoa; Chordata; Mammalia; Rodentia; Muridae
Source: RefSeq, a predicted model, not a curated record